AGCAGCCGCGGUAAUUCCAGCUCCAAUAGCGUAUAUUAAAGUUGUUGCAGUUAAAAAGCUCGUAGUUGAAUUUCGGGGUUUGUCAGUUGGUCGGGCUUCAUUGUCCGUACUGACUUGAUGGAUUCCUACCUUCUGAAUAACCAGCAUGCUAUUAAGUUAGUGCGUUGGGGAAGCAGAUCUAUUACCUUGAAAAAUUAGAGUGCUUAAAGCAGGCUAGUGCUUGAAUAGAUUAGCAUGGAAUAAUAAAAUAGGACGGCAUGGUUCUAUUUUGUUGGUUUCUAGGAUCACCGUAAUGAUUAAUAGGGAUAGUUGGGGGCAUUAGUAUUCAAUUGUCAGAGGUGAAAUUCUUGGAUUUAUUGAAGACUAACUUCUGCGAAAGCAUUUGCCAAGGAUGUUUUCAUUAAUCAAGAACGAAAGUUAGGGGAUCGAAGACGAUCAGAUACCGUCGUAGUCUUAACCAUAAACUAUGCCGACUAGGAAUCGGACGAUGUUAAUUUUUAAUGACUCGUUCGGCUACCG
This 519-nucleotide unclassified non-coding RNA is filed under the name uncultured Paraglomus. RNAcentral's name for it is "SSU rRNA". It matches the Rfam family "Eukaryotic small subunit ribosomal RNA", at positions 569 to 1089 of the family's 1831-position model. The record is from RNAcentral. Lineage: Eukaryota; Fungi; Glomeromycota; Glomeromycetes; Paraglomerales; Paraglomeraceae.